This is a long non-coding RNA of Neodiprion fabricii, 470 nucleotides long. RefSeq lists it as uncharacterized. The record is from RefSeq and is a predicted model, not a curated record. The transcript has 2 exons. Lineage: Eukaryota; Metazoa; Arthropoda; Insecta; Hymenoptera; Diprionidae.
UUGAUAAUCAGAAUGUGAUAUUGAUUGUUAUACAAAAAUUGACGAGCUACAGCUUUCUUUUUAUUAAGGAUUGCUGGCGAUUAUCAUCAGAUAAACAAAUUUAUCGCUGGUAUAGCCGAAGAGCAGGUUCAAGUGAAAGCAAUUUCGGCAGGCCAUUUCAGCCCUCUCGCAAGGGGUGACAGAAGGGAGGGCGCAUGUGCCAUAUUGAUCAGGGUCUCUACAUCCGUGAGCCCGCAUCUGGGAAUGGUGUUGCUCUACGCUGUUGCUGGAUCCCUAACACGUUUCUAUGUGUAAAUCGUCAGGUGUGUUCAUUCGUACGUACACGCGGAAGCUUGAAAUAGGUUGCGUAUUACGUUCCGUACGCAGACGCGGAAGGAGAGCAUUAAUGAGGGGGGAAAAAUCACGGGAAUCGUCACCGAGGAGUAACGAGAAGAAAUUAUUGGAUAAAAAAAUUCUUCGAUAUUUACGCG